RNAcentral lists this ribosomal RNA (250 nucleotides) under uncultured bacterium. RNAcentral describes it as "partial 16S ribosomal RNA". It matches the Rfam family "Bacterial small subunit ribosomal RNA", at positions 796 to 1041 of the family's 1533-position model. The record is from RNAcentral.
CCAGCCGUAAACGAUGAGUGCUAGGUGUGGGGGGCAACAAUCCUCCGUGCCGGAGUUAACACAAUAAGCACUCCGCCUGGGGAGUACGGCCGCAAGGCUAAAACUCAAAGGAAUUGACGGGACCCCGCACAAGCAGUGGAGCGUGUGGUUUAAUUCGACGCAACGCGUAGAACCUUACCAGGGUUUGACAUCAUGGUGCCAGCUGUGGAAACACAGUCUUCCGUAGCAAUACGGACGCCAUGACAGGUGU